RNAcentral lists this small RNA (106 nucleotides) under Marmota monax (woodchuck). Lineage: Eukaryota; Metazoa; Chordata; Mammalia; Rodentia; Sciuridae. The record is from RNAcentral.
GCCAGGUGUGGUGGUGCAUGCCUGUAAUCUCAGCCACUUCGGAGGCAGAGACAGGGUUAUCUUAAGUUUGAAUCCAGCUUGGAAACUUAGCAAGAGUCUGUCUCAA